CCUACGGGUGGCAGCAGUGAGGAAUAUUGGUCAAUGGGCGCGAGCCUGAACCAGCCAAGUAGCGUGAAGGAUGACGGCCCUACGGGUUGUAAACUUCUUUUAUAAAGGAAUAAAGUGAGGCGCGUGUGCCUUUUUGAGUGUAUUUUAUGAAUGAGGAUCGGCUAACGCCGUGCCAGCAGCCGCGGUAAUACGUAGGAUCCGAGCGUUGUCCGGAUGUAUUGGGGUUAAGGGGAGCGUAGAUGGGUUGUUAAGUCAGAUGUGAAAGUUUGCGGCUCAACCGUAAUAUUGCAAUUGAUACUGGCAGACUUGAGUACAGUUGAGGUAGGCGGAAUUCGUGGUGUAGCGGUGAAAUGCUUAGAUAUCACGAAGAACUCCGAUUGCGAAGGCAGCCUACUAAACUGCCACUGACAUUGAUGCUCGAAAGCGUGGGGAGCAAACAGGAUUAGAUACCCGGGUAGUC
RNAcentral lists this ribosomal RNA (460 nucleotides) under uncultured bacterium. RNAcentral describes it as "partial 16S ribosomal RNA". It matches the Rfam family "Bacterial small subunit ribosomal RNA", at positions 338 to 795 of the family's 1533-position model. The record is from RNAcentral.